Molecule: transfer RNA, 82 nt
Filed under: Paenibacillus albiflavus
Lineage: Bacteria; Bacillati; Bacillota; Bacilli; Caryophanales; Paenibacillaceae
Also listed under: 1 other name
Rfam family: tRNA
About the family: Transfer RNA (tRNA) molecules are approximately 80 nucleotides in length. Their secondary structure includes four short double-helical elements and three loops (D, anti-codon, and T loops).
Source: Rfam by way of RNAcentral
GCGGUCGUGGUGGAACGGCAGACACGCUAUCUUGAGGGGGUAGUGCCCAGUGGGUGUGCGGGUUCAAAUCCCGCCGACCGCA